This 478-nucleotide ribosomal RNA is filed under the name uncultured bacterium. Its description in RNAcentral is "partial 16S ribosomal RNA". It matches the Rfam family "Bacterial small subunit ribosomal RNA", at positions 28 to 507 of the family's 1533-position model. The record is from RNAcentral.
GAUGAACGCUGGCGGCGUGCUUAACACAUGCAAGUCGAACGGGAAACCUUUUAUUGAAGCUUCGGCAGAUUUAGCUGGUUUCUAGUGGCGGACGGGUGAGUAACGCGUGGGUAACCUGCCUUAUACAGGGGGAUAACAGUCAGAAAUGGCUGCUAAUACCGCAUAAGCGCACAGAGCUGCAUGGCUCAGUGUGAAAAACUCCGGUGGUAUAAGAUGGACCCGCGUUGGAUUAGCUGGUUGGUGGGGUAACGGCCCACCAAGGCGACGAUCCAUAGCCGGCCUGAGAGGGUGAACGGCCACAUUGGGACUGAGACACGGCCCAGACUCCUACGGGAGGCAGCAGUGGGGAAUAUUGCACAAUGGAGGAAACCCUGAUGCAGCGACGCCGCGUGAAGGAAGAAGUAUCUCGGUAUGUAAACUUCUAUCAGCAGGGAAGAUAAUGACGGUACCUGACUAAGAAGCCCCGGCUAACUACGUG